Molecule: ribosomal RNA, 301 nt
Filed under: uncultured bacterium
Lineage: Bacteria
Description: partial 16S ribosomal RNA
Rfam family: Bacterial small subunit ribosomal RNA
Source: RNAcentral
CAGUAGCCACGGGAAUACGAAGGGGGCUAGCGUUGCUCGGAAUUACUGGGCGUAAAGGGAGCGCAGGCGGUUUAGUAAGUCUGAAGUUAAAGGCAUUGGCUCAACCAAUGUAUGCUUUGGAAACUGUUAGACUUGAGUGCAGAAGGGGAGAGUGGAAUUCCAUGUGUAGCGGUGAAAUGCGUAGAUAUAUGGAGGAACACCGGUGGCGAAAGCGGCUCUCUGGUCUGUCACUGACGCUGAGGCUCGAAAGCGUGGGUAGCGAACAGGAUUAGAUACCCGCGUAGUCCCUGUCUCUUAUACA